UUCCGGUUGAUCCUGCCGGACCCCACUGCUAUCGGGAUGGGACUAAGACAUGCUAGUCGUGCGCUUCCAAGCCACGGUGGAGGCGCGGCGCACAGCUCAGUAGCACGUGGCUAACCUACCCUUGGGACGGAAACAACCCCGGGAAACUGGGGCUAAUUUCCGAUAGGUGAAGACUCCUGGAAUGGAUCUUCGCCCAAAAGGCGUUUAGACCAUGCUUCUAAGCGCUGCCCAAGGAUGGGGCCGCGGCCGAUCAGGUUGUUGGUGAGGUAACGGCUCACCAAGCCUUUAACCGGUUCGGGCCGUGAGAGCGGGAGCCCGGAGAUGGGCACUGAGACAAGGGCCCAGGCCCUACGGGGCGCAGCAGUCGCGAAAACUUCGCAAUACGCGGGAGCGUGACGGGGCCAUCCCGAGUGCCGUCCGCUGAGGAUGGCUUUUCCCCAGUGUAGAUAGCUGGGGGAAUAAGGAGAGGGCAAGUCUGGUGUCAGCCGCCGCGGUAAUACCAGCUCUCCGAGUGGUGGGGAUGUUUAUUGGGCUUAAAGCAUCCGUAGCUGGCUGGGCAAGUCCCCUGUUAAAUCUAACGAUUCAAUCGUUGGAUUGCGGGGGAUACUGCUCGGCUAGGGGGCGGGAGAGGCCGACGGUAUUCCCGGGGUAGGGGUGAAAUCCUAUAAUCCCGGGAGGACCACCAGUGGCGAAGGCUGUCGGCUAGAACGCGCCCGACGGUGAGGGAUGAAAGCUGGGGGAGCGAACCGGAUUAGAUACCCGGGUAGUCCCAGCUGUAAACGAUGCAGGCUAGGUGUUCGGGCGGCCACGUGCCGCUCGAGUGCCGCAGG
Molecule: ribosomal RNA, 830 nt
Filed under: uncultured archaeon
Lineage: Archaea
Description: bacterial SSU rRNA
Rfam family: Archaeal small subunit ribosomal RNA
Source: RNAcentral